Long non-coding RNA from Cyprinus carpio carpio, 1322 nucleotides. Lineage: Eukaryota; Metazoa; Chordata; Actinopteri; Cypriniformes; Cyprinidae. The record is from Ensembl.
AUGAGUAAAUGGUUGCAAAAACACCUUACCCCACGGAUACUGCGAGAUGAAUCAUAUCUUCUAAAUAAAGCCCAAGUAAAUGUAACCACUGGGUUCUAUGCCAGGACACAAUUUCUAUCCAGUAUCCUAGGGGUUAAAAGCACCCUGAGGGAGUAAUCCUCCCUCAUUUACAAUCACUCUUUGCCCUGCAGCUGCUGACUGCAGGGUUAUUUCUCAGAGCCCCCGAGAAUAUAUCCAUAGAAGAAACUCAAUAGAAACGGGAUUUAAGAUGGAGGUAGAAGAGAAGCCAUCUCUCUUUGAACUUAAUCUGCAAAGGCAACACAAACUGGCAAUAAAGCAGAGUUUAUGACACCCUCUGAGAACUGUUUCAUUGGCUUUUCCAUUGCACCCUGACAUACAAAGACACCAGCCGCCUGAGUCAGCCACACAUCUCUUCACAGCCAAUAUCAGCCACCUCUGUCCCUCUUAACCCAGCUGACAAAUUUAGACCUCCGAGGAUGGCGGUGUUAACCGAUGUUCAGAGCAAAUCCACAAUGUGUGGGUGUGUACAGUGUGCUUUUUUACAUGUGAGUAAUGUAUUAGCAUAAAGAGAUGGAAGUGAAUUGGCCACAGGUCAAGAGUAUAUAGCAUAUGCUCGGUUGCCAAGAGAGAAACCAAAGAGGAAAAAAUCAACCUGCUCUCUACGAAUGACCCCUUUUUUCUUAGAAAACAAUCAAAUAAAGGUCAGGCACAGACUUGUGGGAAAGGAAAAUGAGUGCUGCAGAAAUCAUGAACAUGAGAACUGGAUGUAGCAAAUAUUAUAGAGAUAAAUAUUGUUUAUUUUAUACAGGUCUACUGUCACUGCUCAAAGUGUAAGUUACUAUAUUUACAUUUUCUUUUACAUAAAAAGUUACUAAGGCUACUAAAAGGAAGGCUAUAUUGUAUUUUUUGCUUUCUCUUGUAGCAUGUGAUUUAAUAGUUUAUUGAAUGUGUAAAACUGUAGCUUUUUGUGCUGUAGAUUCUUAAUUAUUGAUCCUCAUUUAAAUAAUUUUUGCUAUUAUGCCAAUGCCAAAGCCAUCUGUCAAAAUCGGCAGUUUUUCUGACACAUCAAGUCAGAACCAUAGACGUGAGACCAAAAGGGAAAUGUUUAUAGUUUGUAUUUUAUUUUAUUUUCCUAAUUUAAUACAAAAUGUAACUUACAUAUUCUCAGCAUAGCAUUUUGAAUACAUUUUACUGCACUGAAUUCUCUGUUUUUGCUUAUUUGAUAUAUUGACAAUAUUUCUUCUUUGUUUUAAAUUUAUUAAAAUUCUAGUUUUCAGUUUAUUUCCAGUUUCAAAGAAAAA